AGAAUUGUCUCAACAAAGCCGAAAGAAGUUGGGGGAAUCUGACAGAGCUCCAUUCCAUCUGCCAGAAACUUGCAAUUCCCCAGAUGUUUCUCAGAUGACAAUGUUUCCAGUGGGUAAGGCUGCAGCACUGGGGAUCAAAGGUUCCUGUGUCUUGGACCUCAACUCUCUGAAAAUAGGAGUGAUAAUAUGACCACAUCUUUCCAAGUGCUAUGGCCGUCGUUCAAAGAAUGUACAGGAAGAAGACAGUGCAAAAGCCACAGCAUGGAGAUGCCCACUGCCCAGUCUGCUACUCCUACAAGCUGGUGGCCCCACACAUCUGGCGGUUCUCAUGCCGACACCGGAAGCCAUGCCAGAACUCAGGUGCCUAUGAGUCACCCACAUUUGGUAUCACUGAUAGAAAGAAAUCUACGGUUUCAAAACAGAAUCAGAAAUGCAGGGAACGCCACUUUCCCCUUCGGCCACAAGACAAAUACAAUAUUGAUACUGAGACUUAUCUGAUCCAAGAGUGAAAAAAACAACAAUGGUUUCUCAGUGGCUCCUUCAGCUUCCUCAUGAGCACAGUGGGACAUGCACUAACACGCUUUGCAAAGAGGCUUCGUUAAUGACACCUGCUCAGACCAUCUGCUGGUUAGUCACAUCUUAUUUGAGAUCUCCAUUGUUUCUGAAUGGUAAAUACUGGAGGAAGGAUUCAUGGGAAGUGUGAGAACUGGCCUCAUUCACAUAGCCCAGAAUGUCCUUUUCCAAAGUUGAGUGUUGGCGUGUGUCACGGAAACAUCAAAUUCUGAUAAACCCAAUUUGUAAAUCUUAUUAUGACUGUCAAGAUUGCCUUGUGUUGCCUACACUGUGGGAGCCCAUUUCCAGGUUCCUAGUGGCUUUACCCAGCAGGUCUGCAUAGAGGAUGAUUAGGACCACGGGCCUGAGUGCAGGUGUCUGAGAUGGUCGGCACUUGGCUGUGCUGGGGGAGGUCUGUUGCUCCACCCCUUGGUGUUUCUAUAAAUACCGUAGGGCAGAGACAGUCAGGACCCAUUGGAAUAGGUUCCAGGCCCUCUCGAGGCUAUCCUGUAUUUUCUGUUUAUCUCCACACUCUAAAUCCUUCUAAUAUUUCCUGCUGCUCUCACUAAAGAAAACUCUGGGGAACUGUGGAGUUGGUGGGUAGCUACCCCACGCUACAUGAAAGGACUCUACACCUAUUCUUCUUUGUUUUCCUAUAUUGUUAUUAUUUUGAAUCUUUCAUAUUUUGGGAGGACUCUGUCCAGUACCUCAGACUUCAAAAGGAUCUAUGAGCACAGUCCAGAACCAGUAGGAAGAAUGUUUCUCUAAAUGUUUAGAUGCCAAAGACCUUUUAUUUUAUUUUUUGAGGUUACAAUUUGAUUACAAUAUUUCUCCUUUCCCUUCCCUCCUCACUCUCCUUCAAAUUCAUGGUUUCUCUUCUCAUUAAUUUUAUUGCCUGCAUAUAUGUGUAUACAUAGAACCUAUUCAGUCCAUAUAAUCUUAUUUGUACAUGUGUUUUCAGGACUGCCUGUUUGGCGAUGGACAACUAAUUUGUAUAUCGUUCCCCAAGGAAGACCACUUCUCUCCUCCAGCUUUCCUCGGUUGCCUAUAGUUCUUUGUGUAGGGUUGAGAACUCAUGGGCUUUUCCAUAUGCAAUUUGGUGUGUUUUGCUGGACACCAAAAAACUUUGAUUAAAAUAUUGCUUUUCUUUCCCCUCCUUUUCUUUCCUUUCUUUUUUCCCUCCUCUUUUCUCCUCUUCUUUUUCUUCUUCCUAUGUUUUCUUUUUUUUAAUGAGAUAAGGUCUGGCUAUGCUGCCCAACCUGGCCCUGCACUCCUGGGCUCAAGCAAUCCUUGGAGAGUAGCAGGGACUGCAGGUAGAGACCACUGCACCUGGCUUCUUGGAACGUUCUACAGCAGCAUUGCAAGUCUCAGUAAACCAAAUGCAUCCAGACACUCAGACACACAGGUUUGGCCUCUAUCUAUAUGAACAUGGAUGGAGAUCUUGAGUUCUUUUCUUAUUCUGAUCACUCAAUCAUUCAUACACACACACACACAGAGUACUUGACUUUGCCUAGGAGUUAAAUGCUGAUCUCAAGAUAAAUGUCCUUCAUUUCACUGCCCACAUUUCAAAUUCAUUAGCUUUUGCGUCUUGCUUUACCUACAAGGAAAUUGGUGACCAGUGAUGAUCUCAGGUGACAAGGGAAAACCUUCAGUCUCUCUAACUCAAGAUUUCUGAAUCUUUUCAUUCUGUCUGGGAAGAUGAUUCCCUAACAAUGAAUUUCUUUGUAGUAUCACCUUUGUGAAACAGACUUUGUCCUGUCAAAGUAUCACUGUGGAGGGAUCAUGUGCUUCUCCUCUUCCUCCUCUGCAGAACCUUCGAGAUCUACUGUCCCACUUGGAGACUCAAUGAGGAGAUUAGUAAGAUAGCAGGAACAUGAAGCAAUACACUGAUUGUUUAAAACGCAAUACAAUUCUGUGUGUUGCACACAACAAUGAGAAACUAUGCGAAGUUGCAAAACAAAUACUUCCUUAUGGUUGUGCUAUUAGUCUUUAUUAUCUCUGGGAUGUCCUUUCCAACUUAAAGAUGUGUCCUUUCUGUGGGGGACCUACUGGAGUCAUGUUACAGUAGACCCUGAAGCAUUUGAUUUGCCUUUGUUCCCAUGGGGGAAAUUGAAUUGGAGACCUUGUGUGAGAGUCUUGAUGAACAGUGACUGGUUCAGCUGGUUCACCAGGCCAAACAAGAAGAAAAAAACUAAAGUAUUUGAAAUGUGGGUGGUGAAAUGAAAAAACAUUUAUCUUGAGAUCAACAUUUAACUCCUAGGCAAAGUCAAGUACUCUGUGUGUGUGUGUGUGUGUGUGUGUGUGUGUGUGUGUGUGUGUGUGUGUGUGUGAAUUAUUGAGUGAUCAGAACAAGACAAGAUCUCAAGAUAUCAAUCCUUGUUCUUAUAGAUAGAGGUGGAGUCUGUCUGUCUGAGUGUCUGGAAUGGAUUUGAUUUCAUGAGACUUGUAGUGCAGCUAUAGAAAAUUUUGAAGCUCACUCAACUGUAGUGAAAUUUAUAGACUCAAAGCAGACAUUCUUGAUAAACAUGAAUUUCUCAUGUAAAACUUUCAAGACUUUUUAAGACUUUAAAAUAUUCCUUUAGUGUUUCUUUUAGUGUUUUAAUAAUAAAGAGUAUUUUCUUCCUUCAAUACAGAAUAGAAUGUAAUCUCCUCUGCAUGAUUAAAUAGACAUGAUUUCAUCAUCAAAUACCAGAAAACAAGCGUAGAGAGGCAUUCUAGUUUGUCACCAUGUGUUGAAAUCAGAAACAACAAGCACCAGACAUCAUCAGAAAAGUUGGGAGAUUGAAGGUGUUUAGACUCACCUGAUAGGUUGGCAGUUUCGAUUCCUUAAUGGUCUUGGCAUAGCACCAACCCAUGCUGACCUAGCUUCCCACCAUCCUGUCCUGGUUCUCAUGCAUUUAUUGCCCUCAAUCUGGGAGAUGCUGCAGUGUACAGCAUCCUCUGUAGUGGGUAGCUGUUCCAGCUUUGACCUGGAAGUACUACUCCCAUUGAGGCUUCGGUAAUUGUUAUGCCUAUAAGGCAGAGCCGAGAGAGGAUCCCUGAAGACCUGAAAUCCAGAAGGGCUGGCUCUCGUGGUUCCUGGAUCCUGGACGCUGGAGGUAGACUGAGCAGAGUUCUCCAGAGAACAUCGGGG
Molecule: long non-coding RNA, 3685 nt
Organism: Peromyscus californicus insignis
Lineage: Eukaryota; Metazoa; Chordata; Mammalia; Rodentia; Cricetidae
Exons: 3
Source: RefSeq, a predicted model, not a curated record